RNAcentral lists this long non-coding RNA (4096 nucleotides) under Homo sapiens (human). Its description in RNAcentral is "HSALNT0234876". The record is from RNAcentral. Lineage: Eukaryota; Metazoa; Chordata; Mammalia; Primates; Hominidae.
UGGCAAAGGCCCUGGCAGGAAGUUUACAGGGUUUAACGUAAACAAGUUCUGGGGGAUUCUUUAAUAAUAAUAAUAGAGAAUUCCGCGUGCGCAGGGCGGGAGGGGGGAGUUGGCCUAAUGCCCCUGUGGGCUCGGCCUGCCGCCGCCGCGGGGCCUCUGACACUGCGCGCCAGGCCAGGUUCCUGAGAGCAGACAGCGCGGGCUGGGAGCGCCGGCAAGGGCGGCCCUCGCGCACCUGGCUGCCAGCCCGCAGGGGGCUCGCACGCAGACCUGCCCUUGCCACCUCAGCGCUCGGGUGCGGGCUGGGGGCGGUGGAGCCACGAAAGGUGGUGCCGAGAGCGGAGCGCAGGACAGCGCAGGAGCCCCGGCGCAUCGCGGCGCGCACAGACCCAGGAUUUGUGAAGAGGUGACCCAAAUUUCAAGACAAUGUUGGAUGCAAACGGAUUUGCCAGCAACUGCAUCACUGUCAAAACCAGCUCUGCCCGUGUCUUCCGAAGAUACCAAGUGAAAUACAUGUAGAUGGGAUUUACAUCUGAAAAACCAAGUGAGAAACUGAAGACCAGAGAGGGUGAGUGGUUUACUCAGUUUGGCACAACUGACCCCAACCUAGCCCUCCAUGAGGACUGAGCGCAUGAGAGAUCCUGAGCCACAGCCGCCCAGCCCUGCUCCUCUCGAAUUUCUGACCUACAGGAACUGCAAGAAGUAAUGAAAGACUGCUGUUUAAAGCCACUGCAUUUUGGCAUGAUUUGUUAUGCAGUCGUAGAUAACCAGAAAACAUCGGAUUUACAUUUUAAGGAUUACUUCAUGCACAUAAAAGAAAACGCAACUACAGUGGACCCUGAACAACGUAGCUAUGGCCUGCAGCCACUGAAGAAUGCUUGCAUAAGGAGCUCUUCUCUGCACAUACCCCGACACAGUGAUGGUAUCUUGCAGCUGCUGCUUCUGUCCAAGGCACUGCAGCCUACUCGUCAAAAGCCCGAAGCCCAGCUCUGCCAGCAGUGCACUGUGUGCUCUUAGGAAACAGAGAAGCAAAGAAGUUAGCAAGCUUGUUUUGGCAGAAGAAAAAACACAAAAUACCCAACCACAGAUCCUCAAAAAUAUUGCUAAGCACUAAUUUUGCUAACAUGUUAGACAGCCUUCGGAUCUAGGCAAUCUUGUUCCUCAGCUGGAAAGAGUUCCUGCCAGCCAUGUGAUUCCAAAUCCACCCUGGACAUAUGGGGAUAAUGAGAAAAUCAGCUCCGGCCUUCCCUGGCCUUCCAGCCAAGUGAAUGGGGGCAUCCCCUGGUGCUUCAGCCCGGGGCCCACCCAGAGGAUGCUAGCUGGCCUGCAGAGGCCUCAACCAUGCCCUCCUGGACUCAGGUAAGACUGAGGUUUCCAUGCCCUCAAAACAAUUGUUCAGACAAAAACUCACUGCCCAGGUCAAAGUCACAGCACCAGAAAGCCAACCUGAGGAUGAAGACAAAGCUCUUUGUUGGCACAGUCCCCUGAUCAUUCGAGGUCAGCAUCUCCAUCAAAAUGGACCCAAUGCUGAGGCAAGAAGGAGAACAUCACUGUUAAGAAGGUAAUGAGUCACAAAUGCUAUUUCGAUGGUUUUCUUUGAAAGAAAUACACAGAACCAAACCAAUUUUAAUUAAAGAUCUUGUCUUUGUAAUCAGGCAGCCACAAAUGAAGGCAAAACUGCUUUCAUGUGGCAUAAUAUACACAGAGCUGAACUAGUUUUCCCAUAAAAGGGCAGGUUCUUUUCUUCAAAUAAGAAAAGAGUUUGUUCCUAACAAUAUGGGGGAUGCAACAGAAAGCUGUCUUUUGCAAAGUAUAAAAUUGCAGAUCCUCCCGUGGAAGCCAUUUCUUGAUGCUAAACCAAUGCGAACGUUUGCCAAACGCACAUGCGAGCCGGGAUUAUCCUACCCUUUGAGAUUAGACAUGUGAUCCUGAUUUUUAAGUGAAAAACGCAGCCAGAGGCCAAAUAAACAUACCUACAAGUACAUCGAAAGCUCAAAUGGUUGAGAAAUGAUUGUAACACACCCCGGUGUGUAUUUCUGAGGAAGAAUCAACAUGCACAUGGAAAUUGAUGUUUUGAUUUUUAAUUUUAAAACGACGACAGAACUGAAAUACCUCCCCUAACUAGGUCCACUGAAACCAGUGAGGAGAUAAUCAUUUUCAGUUAAAUAUGCAUGUAAUUUAAUAAUCCACAGAUGGAAAAUGCAUUUGAGGUGGACUGAACACAGCCAGGAGUUUUUGCUUAUCGACAGCACUGAAUCCUGCCUUGACUAGAGAGACUCGUCAUGUGAUCAACUGUGGCCAGAGGGCAUCCUGCAGACAGCUCCUGUCACACCACACUGACCAGACUCUUAUGAGUAUUUAAGCAUCUUCAGGGAAGCGAUUGACUGUCUUAUAAUGGUCUUACAAGUACGGAACUUUAUUACCUGCUAAUAAUCAGAGCACAUGAUGGCACAAUAGAAUAUACGAGUGAAGUUCUAAAUGCAAGGUUGUUCUUAUUCUGUGAGUGGCAAAACUCAUGCAGUGAGCAGAUAAAGCUGGCAGGAGGCAUUGGCGCCCUAAUGCUGGGCACUAACCACCUGCCCGGACUGCGAAUAUCUGUUGGGUCCUUUCUAUAUCUGGUCUAUUCUCGUGUUUGAUUAUAUCCUGGUGGCAAGAAUAGCAAAAUCAACUCUCCUUCCUAUCCCAUGUGGAGAGGCAUGAUUUGAGUCAGAGAGCAUUAUCCUCUCUGCGUUAUCCAACCCCAUGUCCCAUGAUGCACUUUGUAGACAAGCAAGUGUCCCUGGUGGAGAAUCCACAGCCACACAUCCUCAUUGGUUGCAAGGAUCAGUGUCCAAUAUCUACUGCCAUGAUCAUUCUCAGUUUUACAUCCACAGAGCUUCAUAGAAUUCUAACACCACAGGUCCAAGUAGAGGUUUUGGCCUCAGAGUGGGCUAGAUUCCACCUCUGACAGCAGCUGUGGGACUGUUUUUCCAUCUGUAAAAUGGAGACAAGAGUAUCACCUACCUCAUGGUGUUGGUGGGAUCGUUAAACAGAAUUCCGAUCAUGAAACCCUUAGCCUGCUCCCUGCAUAGGCUGCAUGCGCUCAGUGAGCUAUGGCUCUGUUUCAUGCUGACUUUACCAUCAUGUAAGCAGUUUUAAAAAUGCUAGAAGCUUUAGUCAUAGAAUUACCAUAUGAUACAGCCUACUGCAGAGUCCAGAGGCUGAGGCAGGAGAGUUACUUGAACCUGGGAGGCGGAGGUUGCAGUGAGCCAAGAUCGCGCCACUGCACUCCAGCCUGGGCAACAGAGUGAGAUUCUGUCUCAACACAAAAAAGAAGACAUGUGUCCCCAUCACAGUAUCAUACAGAGUGCUUCCACUGCCCUAAAAUACCCUGUGCUCUUCCUAUUCAUCCCUCUCUUCAACCCCAGCAACCACUGAUCCUUUUACCAUCUCCAUGGUUUUGCCUUUCCCAGAAUGUCAUAUUGUUGGAAUCAUACGCUAUGUAGCCUUUGCAAAUGGGCUUCUUUCACCGAGCAAUGUGCAUUGAAGGUGCCUCUAUGACUUUUCAAGGGUUGAUAGCUCAUUCCUUUUUAUUGCUAAAUAAUAUUCCAUUGUCUGAAUGUACCACAUUUUGUUUAUCCAUUCACCUACUAAAGGACAUCUUGGUUGCUUCCAAGUUUGGGCAAUUAUAAAUAAAACUGCUAUAAACAUUGUGUGCAGGUUUUUUUUUCUAGAUGUCAGUUUUUAACUCAUUUGGACUAUAGAGCACUAUUGCUGGAUCAUAUGAUACGUGUGUGUUUAGUUUUAUGAGAAACUGCCAAACUGUCUUCCAAAGUGGCUGCACCAUUUUGCAUUCCCACCGUCAAUGAAUGAGAGCUCCGGUUGUUCCACAUCCUCACCAGCAUUUGGUGUUGUCAUUGUUUUGGAUUUUAGCCAUUUCAUAGGUGUGUAGAGGUAGCUCAUUGUUUUAAUCUAAUAAACAUCUUAUUGAAGAAUAACACACAAGCAGAAAAUUUCAGAGAUACAAACGAACAGCUUUUUCAACCAUCACCCACUGGAUACAGUUCUGUAUCCAGCACCCAGGCCAAGAAACUGACACUAACGGUGCCCUGUGCCC